Molecule: ribosomal RNA, 253 nt
Filed under: uncultured bacterium
Lineage: Bacteria
Description: partial 16S ribosomal RNA
Rfam family: Bacterial small subunit ribosomal RNA
Source: RNAcentral
UACGUAGGGUGCGAGCGUUAAUCGGAAUUACUGGGCGUAAAGCGUGCGUAGGUGGUUCGUUGUGUCUGUGGUGAAAGCCCCGGGCUUAACCUGGGAAUGGCCAUGGAAACUGGCGAGCUGGAGUGUGGCAGAGGGGGGUGGAAUUCCGCGUGUAGCAGUGAAAUGCGUAGAGAUGCGGAGGAACACCGAUGGCGAAGGCAGCCCCCUGGGCUAACACUGACGCUGAGACGCGAAAGCGUGGGGAGCAAACAGG